This 253-nucleotide ribosomal RNA is filed under the name uncultured bacterium. Its description in RNAcentral is "partial 16S ribosomal RNA". It matches the Rfam family "Bacterial small subunit ribosomal RNA", at positions 524 to 776 of the family's 1533-position model. The record is from RNAcentral.
UACAGAGGUCCCAAGCGUUGUUCGGAUUUACUGGGCGUAAAGGGUGCGUAGGUGGUUGGGUAAGUCUGAUGUGAAAUCUCCGGGCUCAACCCGGAAAUGGCAUUGGAUACUAUUCGACUAGAGGGUUGGAGGGGGACUGGAAUACUUGGUGUAGCAGUGAAAUGCGUAGAUAAUCAAGUGGAACACCAGUGGCGAAGGCGAGUCCCUGGACAACUCCUGACACUGAGGCACAGAAGCGUAGGGAGCAAACAGG